AAGGGCGUACGGUGGAUGCCUUGGCAUGCUGAGCCGAUGAAGGACGUGUGAGGCUGCGUUAUGCCUCGGGGAGUUGCCAACUAAGCGUUGAUCCGAGGAUGUCCGAAUGGGGAAACCCAGCACCAGUUGUGUGGUGUUACCCGCAGGUGAAUUCAUAGCUUGUGUGGGGGUGUACGCGGGGAAGUGAAACAUCUCAGUACCCGCAGGAGAGGAAAAUAAUAAUGAUUCUGCUAGUAGCGGCGAGCGAACGUGGAUGAGGCUAAACCAUGUGCGUGUGAUACCUGGCAGGGGUUGCGUGUGUGGGGUUGUGGGAUGUGAUUGUUACCAGGGCUGUCGACUUGGUGCGUGUGUGUUGUGUGUUAGCGGAAGUCACUUGGGAUGGUGCGCCGUAGUGGGUGAGAGCCCCUGUACGUGAAAACAUGCAAUGUGUGCGUUGAUUGUGUCCCGAGUAGCAGCGGGCUCGUGGAAUCUGCUGUGAAUCUGCCGGGACCACCCGGUAAGCCUAAAUACUCAGUGUGACCGAUAGUGAAUAGUACCGUGAGGGAAUGGUGAAAAGUACCCCGGGAGGGGAGUGAAAUAGUUCCUGAAACCGUGCGCUUACAAUCCGUCAGAGCACCUCGUGUGUGUGAUGGCGUGCCUUUUGAAGAAUGAGCCUGCGAGUCAGCGGCAUGUCGCGAGGUUAACCCGUUGUGUGGGGUAGCCGUAGCGAAAGCGAAUCCUAAUAAGGGUGUGUUAGUGGCAUGUCCUGGACCCGAAGCGGGGUGAUCUACCCAUGGCCAGUGUGAAGCAGCUGUAAGAGGUUGUGGAGGCGCGAACCCACUUAGGUUGAAAACUGAGGGGAUGAGUUGUGGGUAGGGGUGAAAGGCCAAUCAAACUCCGUGAUAGCUGGUUCUCCCCGAAAUGCAUUUAGGUGCAGCGUUGUAGUAACUUGCCGGAGGUAGAGCUACUGGUUGGUUGAGCGGGACUAUCAUCUUAGCAAUGUCAGCCAAACUCCGAAUGCCGGUUUAAGUGUUCUAUGGCAGUGAGACUGUGGGGGAUAAGCUUCAUAGUCGAGAGGGAAACAGCCCAGAUCGCCGGUUAAGGCCCCUAAGGGUGUACUAAGUGGAAAAGGAUGUGGGAUCGCGAAGACAGCCAGGAGGUUGGCUUAGAAGCAGCCAUCCUUGAAAGAGUGCGUAAUAGCUCACUGGUCGAGUGGUUCUGCGCCGACAAUUCAGUGGGGCUCAAGUACACCGCCGAAGCCGCGGCACACUAUUUUUGUGUGGGUAGGGGAGCGUCGUGUAUGGGGUGAAGCAAUACUGUAAGGGGUUGUGGACUGUACACGAGUGAGAAUGCAGGCAUGAGUAACGAGUGAUAAGUGAGAAUCUUAUCCGCCGGAUGACUAAGGGUUCCUGGGUCAAGUUCGUCUUCCCAGGGUGAGUCGGGUCCUAAGGCGAGGCCGACAGGCGUAGUCGAUGGUUAACGGGUUGAUAUUCCCGUACCCGUGUAUAUGCGCCCAAGGGUGAAUCGGUGAUACUAACCACCCUGACCGCACCAUAUGAUGAUCCCUUCGGGG
RNAcentral lists this ribosomal RNA (1552 nucleotides) under Corynebacterium sanguinis. RNAcentral's name for it is "partial 23S ribosomal RNA". It matches the Rfam family "Bacterial large subunit ribosomal RNA", at positions 13 to 1519 of the family's 2925-position model. Lineage: Bacteria; Bacillati; Actinomycetota; Actinomycetes; Mycobacteriales; Corynebacteriaceae. The record is from RNAcentral.